Molecule: ribosomal RNA, 440 nt
Filed under: uncultured bacterium
Lineage: Bacteria
Description: partial 16S ribosomal RNA
Rfam family: Bacterial small subunit ribosomal RNA
Source: RNAcentral
CCUACGGGAGGCAGCAGUGGGGAAUAUUGCACAAUGGGGGAAACCCUGAUGCAGCGACGCCGCGUGAAGGAAGAAGUAUUUCGGUAUGUAAACUUCUAUCAGCAGGGAAGAAAAUGACGGUACCUGACUAAGAAGCCCCGGCUAACUACGUGCCAGCAGCCGCGGUAAUACGUAGGGGGCAAGCGUUAUCCGGAUUUACUGGGCGUAAAGGGAGCGUAGGCGGUUUAGCAAGUCAGAAGUGAAAGCCCGGGGCUCAACGCCGGGACUGCAUUUGAAACUGUUGAACUAGAGUGCGGGAGAGGUAAGUGGAAGUCGUGGUGUAGCGGUGAAAUGCGUAGAUAUUAGGAGGAACACCAGUGGCGAAGGCGGCUUACCGGCGCCCAACUGACGCUGAAGCACGAAAGCGUGGGUAGCGAACAGGAUUAGAUACCCUGGUAGUC